This is a non-coding RNA of Chrysemys picta bellii (western painted turtle), 1501 nucleotides long. Lineage: Eukaryota; Metazoa; Chordata; Testudines; Emydidae. The record is from RefSeq and is a predicted model, not a curated record.
UGGCCCAGCCAACCCACGUUCCCCUUGGCCAGACCCACCUAAAACAGACUCAAUGCAACGCAACCCCCCUCAAAAUCUUCAGCCCCCGGCAGGUAGUCAGCGUGGGAAAUUCCAGCCCAGAUUGUUUGGGAAAUGAGCCGCUGAGGACAGGCUCGUCUUGGAAGUGCCAUAACACCAGUACAACUCUGCUUGUAGGUUGUAAUAUACAGACAGGCCCAGAGACUGACUCUUCUUUCAUUUGCACCCCUGUCACUUCAGCCGGGGUUCUCCCAGUUUGCCCCUAAGUGAGAGGAGAAGCAGGAUUUACAGCCAGCUGACAUAAGAAAGGCCAGACUGGGUCAGACUAAUGGUCCACAUAGCCCAGUGUCCUGUCCUCUGACAGUGACCAACACCAGGUGCUUCAGAGGGAAUGAACAGAACAGGGAAUCAUCCAGAUGUCACACGGAUGGUACCUGAAAAAUACCUAGGGCGAGAUCCUCUGAUCGGUCCAAGUGUUCUGCAAUCCUCAACCCUAAUGGCUGCUCCCUCUUCCUCCCAGGUGAGCUUGGAAUGGAUUAAUCCCAUUUUGCGGGGGAGUCAAAUGAGGCAUUAAGUGACUUUCACAUGGAAUCCGUGUGGCAGAAUCAGCAAUAGAACCUAGCAGUUCCUGACUCCCAGUCUAUCCCCUUCUCUAACCACCAGACCCCACGCCUCCUCCCACAAACUGGGAAUAGAACCCUGGAGUCCUGGAUUCUAGUCCCCUUCUCUAACCUCCAGCCAACACACUCACACUAGAUCUCACAAAGGCAUUGACUAUGUCUACAUGGGUUUCUUUUUUACUUGGAGGAAUCCUAGUGUCAUAAACUAGGGAUUUUAAGCAUUAACUCCUUUAGGAAAUAUUUCCCCUGAAAUACCCAUGACCUCUGGUUUCCGCUUCUUUCCUACUCAGUGAGGCUGCAGCCCGAUUGUACGUAGGAAUUUGGAGAACCAUUUCUGGGAAAGGGGGAGAACGUGACUUUGUAACAUCCCCGGGCAUUACUGCUCUGCCACCGCUGAUCACAUUCCGUGCUCUGAGCACCUGUCAGGGGUUAGCAGGUGGCUCCUGGGAGGUUCAUCUUUCUGUCUUUUAGCUCUACAAAGCUAGAAUUUCCACUUGACGUCAGCCAAGGACUGUGCGUUCCUCCCCGGCAGUUCUAUUGAAUUUUUGCUAAUUGCAAGACCUGACCGGAAUAUUCUACCAGAAAACAUGGACAGUUUCCUCAAAAAGCCUGUUAGUUUCACUUGCAAUUCUCCUUUUAACUGCAGUGAAGUCUAGAUUUUUGUGCCAAAUGCUUCUUUUAUUGUGGGCGUCGUGCAUAAGUGGGAUUCUUUUGGGGGGAGGUGAUGGGAGAAGGAGAGACAGGGCAGGAAUGGGACAGGUUCUGAACAUACUUGAGUUCAAAUUCUUUAUUCUCUGCUAUGAAAUGCUCCUGCUACUUCCUGGUUCAGAACACAUCGCCCUGUGACAGCCAUGAAUGACAAU